RNAcentral lists this ribosomal RNA (253 nucleotides) under uncultured bacterium. RNAcentral's name for it is "partial 16S ribosomal RNA". It matches the Rfam family "Bacterial small subunit ribosomal RNA", at positions 524 to 776 of the family's 1533-position model. The record is from RNAcentral.
UACGAAGGGUGCAAGCGUUACUCGGAAUUACUGGGCGUAAAGCGUGCGUAGGUGGUUCGUUAAGUCCGAUGUGAAAGCCCUGGGCUCAACCUGGGAAUGGCAUGGGAUACUGGCGGGCUAGAGUGCGGUAGAGGGUGGCGGAAUUCCCGGUGUAGCAGUGAAAUGCGUAGAUAUCGGGAGGAACAUCGGUGGCGAAGGCGGCCACCUGGACCAGCACUGGCACUGAGGCACGAAAGCGUGGGGAGCAAACAGG